Molecule: ribosomal RNA, 773 nt
Filed under: uncultured Neocallimastigales
Lineage: Eukaryota; Fungi; Neocallimastigomycota; Neocallimastigomycetes; Neocallimastigales
Description: partial large subunit ribosomal RNA
Rfam family: Eukaryotic large subunit ribosomal RNA
Source: RNAcentral
UAUGUGAUCGUCUCUCGCAUAUCAAUAAGCGGAGGAAAAGAAACUAACAAGGAUUCCCUUAGUAAUGACGAGUGAAGAGGGAAGAGCUCAAAUUUGAAAUCUUCAAGGUUUUACCUUGACGAAUUGUAGUUUAAAGAAGUGUUUUCUGUUGAAGUUUUGGUAAAAGUUCUUUGGAAUAGGACAUCAUAGAGGGUGAGAAUCCCGUAUUUGACCAUUAUUUUCAGCUGUGUGAUACACUUUCAAAGAGUCGGAUUGUUUGGGAAUGCAGUCCUAAAUGGGUGGUAAAUUUCAUCUAAAGCUAAAUAUUGGCGAGAGACCGAUAGCGAACAAGUACCGUGAGGGAAAGAUGAAAAGAACUUUGAAAAGAGAGUUAAACAGUACGUGAAAUUGUCAAAAGGGAAGCGUUUGACACCAGUGUUGUUUUCUCGAGAAUCAAUUAAAAAGAGUUAGAUUUUGUUGUGUAUUGACCUUAACAGCUUGCAUUUCAAUUUUCUUGCUUUUUUUAAUGCACUUUUCGUUUAACAAGUCAACAUCAGUUUCUUUUGUUGUAAAAAGGUCAUUGGAAGGUGGCUUUCUUUUCGGAGAAAGUGUUUAUAGCCUUUGACUCCUGCAAUCGGAGAGACUGAGGUCUGCAGCGUAGAUCCUUCGGGGUUAGAUACAUUUGUGCUAAGUUAUAGCUUUUAUAGACAACUUGUUGACUAUGAUUAGUCUUGUAGCUUACUCGCUUAUGCUAUUUUACCUACGCUUAGGAUGUUGAAGAUGUAGCACAUCAU